This 304-nucleotide unclassified non-coding RNA is filed under the name Hevea brasiliensis (rubber tree). Lineage: Eukaryota; Viridiplantae; Streptophyta; Magnoliopsida; Malpighiales; Euphorbiaceae. The record is from RNAcentral.
UCAUGCACAAAUGGGGAUCUUUUGAAUUGUUUUAUCAACAAGGAAACAAGUAUAAUUGGCUUCUGAUUUUCGAAGCAAACGAUCUUUAACCAGAAAGUUAAGAGAGCAUAGAUGGCAGAACCUCUCUACUUCCGCCCAGGAAAAGGGGAAAGAAGAUAAAGCUUUCGACUUUGAGCAAGUGGAAAAUAUCUAAAAAACUCCAUAAUUAUUCAUCAAAGCAAUAUACAGGACAACCGCUAAAUAAAGCAUCUCUUUACUUAUUAAUCUUCUCAAACAAGACUUAUAAUAGCUCAAUUUAAGAUAA